AUCCCAUGAUGAGGAUACUCGAGUAUGUAAUUUUGAAAGUGCUCCCAAGCUUCUGGGACUGUCUCAUCAUGUUAUUGUUCAAAGCUCGACAUCUUUCCACGUAGAGCAU
This 109-nucleotide small nucleolar RNA is filed under the name Sorghum bicolor (sorghum). Its description in RNAcentral is "Plant small nucleolar RNA R71". It matches the Rfam family "Plant small nucleolar RNA R71". From Rfam's summary of the family: R71 is a member of the C/D box family of snoRNAs containing the C (UGAUGA) and D (CUGA) box motifs. Multiple nearly identical copies of this snoRNA have been identified in Arabidopsis, and it is thought to function as a 2'-O-ribose methylation guide for 18S ribosomal RNA. The record is from Rfam by way of RNAcentral. Lineage: Eukaryota; Viridiplantae; Streptophyta; Magnoliopsida; Poales; Poaceae.